GCCCGCACAAGCGGUGGAGCAUGUGGUUUAAUUCGAUGCAACGCGAAGAACCUUACCUGGGCUUGACAUGCAGGGGACAGAUGUAGAAAUACAUCCUUCUUCGGACUCCUGUACAGGUGCUGCAUGGCUGUCGUCAGCUCGUGUCGUGAAAUGUUGGGUUAAGUCCCGCAACGAGCGCAACCCUUGUCUUUAGUUGCCAUCAGGUAAUGCUGGGGACUCUAGAGAGACUGCCGGUGACAAACCGGAGGAAGGUGGGGACGACGUCAAGUCAUCAUGGCCCUUACGCCCAGGGCUACACACGUGCUACAAUGGUCGGUACAAAGGGCAGCAAUACAGCGAUGUGGAGCGAAUCCCAAAAAGCCGGCCUCAGUUCGGAUCGUAGUCUGCAACUCGACUACGUGAAGUUGGAAUCGCUAGUAAUCGCGUAUCAGAACGACGCGGUGAAUACGUUCCCGGGCCUUGUACACACCGCCCGUCAAGUCAACCGAGUUGGCUGCACCCCAAGUCGCUGAGCUAACCUCUUCGGAGGAGGCAAGUGCCCAAGGUGUGGUUGGCGAGGGGGACUAAGUCGUAACAAGGUA
RNAcentral lists this ribosomal RNA (581 nucleotides) under uncultured bacterium. RNAcentral's name for it is "bacterial SSU rRNA". It matches the Rfam family "Bacterial small subunit ribosomal RNA", at positions 919 to 1498 of the family's 1533-position model. The record is from RNAcentral.